This 2973-nucleotide long non-coding RNA is filed under the name Ooceraea biroi (clonal raider ant). RNAcentral's name for it is "uncharacterized LOC109611448". The record is from RNAcentral. Lineage: Eukaryota; Metazoa; Arthropoda; Insecta; Hymenoptera; Formicidae.
UCUUUUUCAAUGGACAAACGCUAUCUAUCGAGAAAACCGCAGAACUUAAUGAACAACCUAAUACAUCAUUGCUUGUGUAUUACACGUAAGUUUAUUCAGUUUAUGAUUUGUUUGUAUUUAUCUUGCGAUGAAUUAAUUGUUGCGAUAAUUGUUCUUCUAUCUUGCGAUGAAUUAAUUGUUGCGUUAACUGUUGUUACAUUAAAUAGAUUUAUUGUCACCUGAAGAGGACCGAAACCCAUGGGUUUCGACCAUGGUCGAAACGUCGUGACGGAUUUUUCAUUAAAGAUAUGGCCAGUAUGGUUGAAUAUUAAUUGUUGUCAUCAUUAUUUACGCAUAUUGAUACCCACUGGUGAAGAGAAGAAACUUUUACUACACUGUCUUAUUAAAUAUUAAAUUGUUAUUAAAUUAAGAAAAUAAUCUAAAGUUAUGAUGUUAUUAAAAAAUUUAGAACCGCUAAUUGACAAUGAUCUUACAUUUCAUGCUAAGGAAAUUCAAGAAUGUAAUUCCCUGGUGAUAAGGAUCGGCUUUCGUAAAUUAAUGAGAACAUUAUUCACUUGCGUAUCGUUCGAGUCUGACGCAAUAAUCGACUUGCGCUAAUCAAACGGGAAUGUCAGUUUUAAUGUGGCAAACAAUGUCAUUAGCACGCUGAUAUUAUGGAAGCGGGCGCUUCAAACUGCAAUUUGGCAUAAUUACCGAAAGUACCAAUUCGAAUAUUUGCAGUGGAAAUCGUCUGAAUUCUAUCCUGAUAUCCUGAUUAUAUCAUCUCGAUAUAUUUUGACAAUUGACAAUUUCUUACACAUAUGUAGAUCCAAUAUUUAUAUUUUAAUAUUUAUUAUAUAUUUAUUGUGCUUUUUAGGUAACUGUUAAAAAAGAGAUUAAUUAUGUUAUUAUAAUACAAUAAAUUGUUAUCGUCCUGCUUAAACGUGUGUUAUGAAAAUAAAGAAAGUAAAAGUCUAAAAUGAAAUAAUAAAUAAAAUGAUUCACUAAUAAGUUAAUAACAUUGCACCAUUUUCCAAGUAUAUAAUUAUUUCGAUGAGUGAUAGUACGACUAAAGCAAAAGUAAUCGCACUCGAAAAAACUAAUAGAUGAUUGUUUAAACCAUUUAUUAUACGCUUAAUGAUUAAACAAUAUUCCAGACGAUGUAGUUACAGAGAUAUUACCGUUUAGAGUUACUUGAAAUCGCACGAUCGAUUUCGCAGGGAGUCGAGCGAUCGAUCCUCCCUUUCGAAGCAUUGUCCAGUCAUUAACACUCUCUUAGUCUAUGGGAGAAGCCGCUGCACGGAUUUUCACACAUCAGCGAGAACUCUUCAUUCAACGGCGCUGAAUGGUGCGUUCGUUGAGUGCCAUUCGCAGUACGGCGGAUUAUUCCCAUCGAAAAUGUGCACGAUAUAUAGCCAUUGGGAACGCCUAUUGCGGGAUAAUGAAUUGGACAGAGAAGUAAAUGAAACAAGUAUUUAACCAGCUGCAUACCGCUAACUGCCGGACGUACCGCUGAUUCUUUUCGUUCCUUCCUCAUUCAUGAGUGGACAAAAUUCCAUCCCGUGCUAAUUACUCGCAGGUAUAUUUUCGAAUACUCGUCUAAUUGGAUCAGUCGUCCGGAAGGGACAUGAGUUAUAAAAAGCGAAUCCCUCGAAACGCGAGUAGUCAUCUGAAUUUGAUGCGGUGAUACGGACACGUACAGUGGCAUACAGGACGUAGCUGCGCUGAUUCGAAACGGGCGAAACCGCGGAUUUUGUUUCUCAGCAAAACGCGCGGAAAAAGUAUCAAUCAUCGCGAACGGACAACGACACAACCGCCACUCCCGUCGGUUUUAUUUUGCAAAGCAAGUCCAGUAGAUCGUAGCGCGAUCCAGCGCGGAUUUCGUGUCUCGGCAAAACACAAAAAGGUAGCGAUCAUGAAAAACGUACAAAACGGACGCAUGAUCGCGUCAGGCUGCUGCUGGUGCUUCGACAGCGAAUAAAUCCGACGCGACAUAUUUUCCAUGAUAUUUCACCACUGAAAUACGCUGGACGAGUGCGGAAGUGUGCGGACGAGAGAGGUGGAAGAAAAAACAACGAGGGCAGAAAUCGCAAGCGGAACAUCGCAUGCUGAACUAAUGCACGCCGGAUAAAUCUCACCGGCAAGACCCGUGAGAUUUUCUUUGAUUUCUCUUUUUCCUCUUUCGUUUGGCUCCGGUUAAUAUGAAAUCUUCCUGCCACCUGUUUCUAUUCCCAGCGCUACGUCCCAAGGUUAAAUGCGAGCCGCGUGUUGCAUGUGCGAUGAUGCGCUGAAAUCCACCGGGAAAUGUUGCUUGCAACUUGCAGUCCCGAAACACGAUCUCUCGUGAACGUCGGGUAUAACUAAUUUCGACGUUAUAAACAAGGUCAGCGGCGCAACGACGGAGGAUAAUAUCGUUAGGCUGUGCUGCAUCACGCCGGAAUUAUUGCGAUUAAUUAUGUGCGUUGGUUACGUAGACCGAAUAUGCAAGAUUAUUCCGCGCGUACGUGUCGCUUACAUUUCAAUGCGGCUUGAAUUCACCGGCGCGGAGGCCGAUCGAUGAAAAUUGCGGCGCUAUUAGAGAUCAUAGGCGCUUCGAUGUUCCGAGAUUAGUCUGAAGAUUAAUUGUGAUUUUAUGUGCUUCCUAAUUAGACUCAAAUAAGAUAAAAUAAAAUAAAAUAGAGUCGAAUAAUUAAUUAAAAUAAAAUCUACAAAAUCGUAAUAAUUUCAAUGGAAUGUUGCGCGUAUAUCUUUGUAAUAUUCUUCUUUUUAGAUAGUAUUAAAAAAUUAUUAAAUUAUAUCUUUACCAGAAAUUCUGAUUAUUUCGUAAUUUAUUUACGACCACGAAUUUUUAUAAAUUCCUGCAAUUUUACGACCCUCUGCGUUUCAUCUUUGUUUUUUCGGUAGGGUGAAUUUUUUGUUGGCACGAUCCCGACGACACUUAAACACGAGUCGCGAUUAAAGAAAAGCGAGAGAGCCAGUGCCGCAAUUAUUCCC